RNAcentral lists this ribosomal RNA (253 nucleotides) under uncultured bacterium. RNAcentral's name for it is "partial 16S ribosomal RNA". It matches the Rfam family "Bacterial small subunit ribosomal RNA", at positions 524 to 776 of the family's 1533-position model. The record is from RNAcentral.
UACGUAGGGGGCAAGCGUUGUCCGGAAUCAUUGGGCGUAAAGCGCGUGUAGGCUGCCUUGCAAGUCGGGUGUGAAAGCCCUGGGCUCAACCUAGGAAGUGCACUCGAAACUGCGGGGCUGGAGUCCUGGAGAGGAAGGCGGAAUUCUCGAUGUAGAGGUGAAAUUCGUAGAUAUCGAGAGGAACACCGGUGGCGAAGGCGGCCUUCUGGACAGUGACUGACGCUGAGACGCGAAAGCGUGGGGAGCAAACAGG